GAUGAAGAACGUAGCGAAAUGCGAUAAGUAAUGUGAAUUGCAGAAUUCAGUGAAUCAUCGAAUCUUUGAACGCACCUUGCGCCCUUUGGCUAUUCCGAAGGGCAUGCCUGUUUGAGUAUCAUGAACACCUCAACUCUCAUGGUUUGCCAUGAUGAGCUUGGACUUUGGGGGUCUUGCCGGCCUAUGGGUCGGCUCCUCUCAAAUUAAUCAGCUUGCCAGUGUUUGGUGGCGUCACAGGUGUGAUAACUAUCUACGCUUGUGGUUUUCCAUCAGGUAACCUUCAGUGAUGGAGGUUCGCUGGGGCUCAUAAAUGUCUCUCCUCAGUGAGGACAGCUUUUUUGAACGUUUGAUCUCAAAUCAGGUAGGACUACCCGCUGAACUUAAGCAUAUCAAUAAGCGGAGGA
This 404-nucleotide unclassified non-coding RNA is filed under the name soil metagenome. RNAcentral's name for it is "partial contains 5.8S ribosomal RNA, internal transcribed spacer 2, and large subunit ribosomal RNA". The stretch from base 1 to 121 matches the Rfam family "5.8S ribosomal RNA", at positions 35 to 154 of the family's 154-position model. The record is from RNAcentral.